This 626-nucleotide long non-coding RNA is filed under the name Vulpes vulpes (red fox). Its description in RNAcentral is "lncRNA (ENSVVUG00000019550.1)". Lineage: Eukaryota; Metazoa; Chordata; Mammalia; Carnivora; Canidae. The record is from RNAcentral.
AAACACUUAACAAUGGUGCUGAACUGAAAGAAAAGUCAAGGAGAGAUUACAUAUUUGUAAUUGUGUAUUCCUCUUUAUGUGCAUUCAUUCUGACUGCAUUUGAAAAGAGAUAAAUGAUUUUUUUGCCUUUUCUAAUUUUGUGCCAUCUGUACUUUACUCACAUCAUUAGAGUAAAUAAGAGGAAUCUCGAUUUGAACUAUAUUAAGCUUUGGCAUCCCAUGCAGCUCAUUUUCCAGGAAGUCAGCAUCAUAUAAUCAAAAAAGUGUAAUGGUUUGGAAGAUGGAAGAAAUGAACUUUGUAUUCUCCUACUAGAUCUUCGUAUGACCCUGGAAAAGUUGCAGAUACCUGUGAUAAAGGGAUUCCUCCUCCACAAAUUGAGACGAUUUGGAAACAUUAAGGAGAUUCAGCUAAGGAAUAAAACAUGCACUACCGUACUGUGCCUUUUCAAACACAACAGAAAAACACUGUAGCUAUUGCAAAAUCAUAAUACUUGAAGGCCCAGAAGCACUAACCUAAAAGGAGAAGAAGAAGCAAACAACUGGACAUAAACAUGUUUUUCCCAGCUACUCAGCAAAAACAAUGAAAAAAAAUUGUCUAGAACUCCAUCUCAGACUAAGGCAUCUUUC